CCCUUAGAUGUUCUGGGCCGCACGCGCGCUACACUGAUGCAUUCAACGAGUCUAAAACCUGCUCUGAUAGGGGUGGGUAAUCUUUUGAAUGUGCAUCGUGAUUGGGAUAGAUGAUUGCAAUUUUUCAUCUUCAACGAGGAAUGCCUAGUAAACGCAAGUCAUCAGCUUGCAUUGAUUACGUCCCUGCCCUUUGUACACACCGCCCGUCGCUCCUACCGAUUGAAUGAUCCGAUGAAUAUCAUAGACUGAGCGUAUAAGCAGGUUCGCCUGUCUUUGCUUCUCGGGAAGUGAAGUAAAUCUUAUCAUUUAGAGGAAGGAGAAGUCGUAACA
RNAcentral lists this ribosomal RNA (330 nucleotides) under uncultured eukaryote. Its description in RNAcentral is "partial 18S ribosomal RNA". It matches the Rfam family "Eukaryotic small subunit ribosomal RNA", at positions 1470 to 1796 of the family's 1831-position model. The record is from RNAcentral.